GCCGGGGCGUCCCCCGCGGGAGCCCGCAGCCACCCGGGACGCGCAUCCAGACGUGGCGCUUCGGACCGGGCACGCUGCGCCCGGGGGCUCGGCGGACCCCGCGUAGCCGCCGCUUCGGAGCUUGUGCGGCGCGGGCUGGCCAGCGGGGCGGCCAGGGCCCGGCCCGCCUCCCCAGCGCCCGCCCGGCUUCUCCCCCUGGCGGUGGGAGCCUCGGCGGCCGCUGGCGACACUAGGCGCACUGAAGCCCGAGCCGAGCCGAGCCCGAGCCGCCGCCGCCGCCGCCGCUGCUGCGCACCGCUCCCGGGCUCCCUCCCAGCGCGCCGGCCGGGGUGUGGGGGGCGGCGGGCCGGAGGGGCGAGGGCGGGCCAGGGGGCGCACACGGGGGUUGGCGCGGAAGACAGGACCCUCAGCCUCGAGGGAGCCCCUAGGUGACCAGGCAAAAUGGCAGUUCCUUCCAGCUGGUCCUCAGAUGGGCACAUCUAUUAGCCUCUGCUCUUGUAAGAAGUUAGCUGCAGAACCCACAUGUGAAUCCUUGUAGGACUCUGGAGAAGAUCAAAUGGGAGCUUAGAUGUGGAAGCUCUUUGGAAACCAAGAAACACUCUGAAAAUGAAAAGGAUACCAACUUCAUCUCUCUUUAAGAAUACAAUAUUAGUUUAAAAGAUUGUUCAACUUAAAGCAAUCUUGUAGAGAUUGUCACCCAUGAUUGAUGCUGGGUGGAAGAGUAAACUGUUCCUGUUUCUCCAUCUUGACAGGAAGCAGAAGUUCUCCUUAGCUGAUUUUUCUUCUUGCCUUAUACUGGGUUCUUUAACACCAGAACAAAAAUAAAUAAAUAAAAGAAUCUUCCAGAAAUUCAUGAAGAGACUUCAGGUCAGGAAAGCCUGAACUUUCUCAUCCAACACCCGUUCAAGUCGGAGGAUGCUGAUUAAUUCAUGAUGGAAAGGUAUCAAUUUCACAGCCCAGACCUCUACAUUCUUGAAAUGCUCUUCUCAUGGGAGACAUUAAAUAAGCUUUGAAUUAACUGUCAGACGUUUGCUGAAUUCAGUUCUGAGCUUUUGAACCAAAAGCAGAUCUUCAGAACAAGAAACAAGAUAAUAAAAGAGAAACAUGAAGAAACUGAAGAUGAUUGGAGAAAUAUGAAUCAAGAUGAUUAGACCUAGCAGAGGGCUGGCUGGAUGGCAUUUAUGUUGACAAUGGACUCCUACACAGAGGAUGAUCAUGGUCUAGGACAUAAUAGUCAUUCAAUCAUCAUUUCUUAAAUGAUUUUUUAAAACAAGUGAAUGAAUGACCAAUUAUAUACCUUCCCUGAGCCAAUAAAAUAUAUUAAAAGUAUAGGCCUGGGCACAGUGGCUCAUGCCUGU
This 1358-nucleotide long non-coding RNA is filed under the name Homo sapiens (human). Its description in RNAcentral is "PREDICTED lncRNA (TCONS_00182839)". Lineage: Eukaryota; Metazoa; Chordata; Mammalia; Primates; Hominidae. The record is from RNAcentral.